RNAcentral lists this ribosomal RNA (253 nucleotides) under uncultured bacterium. RNAcentral's name for it is "partial 16S ribosomal RNA". It matches the Rfam family "Bacterial small subunit ribosomal RNA", at positions 524 to 776 of the family's 1533-position model. The record is from RNAcentral.
UACGUAGGGGGCAAGCGUUGUCCGGAAUCAUUGGGCGUAAAGAGCGUGUAGGCGGCCCGAUAAGUCCGCCGUGAAAGUCCAGGGCUCAACCCUGGAAUGCCGGUGGAAACUGUCGGGCUGGAGUCCGGAAGAGGCGAGUGGAAUUCCUGGUGUAGCGGUGAAAUGCGCAGAUAUCAGGAGGAACACCAAUGGCGUAAGCGUCUUGCUGGGCUGUAACUGACGCUGAGGAACGAAAGCCAGGGUAGCGAAUGGG